GACAGAGGGUGCAAACGUUGUUCGGAAUUACUGGGCGUAAAGCGCGUGUAGGCGGUCGUGCAAGUCGGGUGUGAAAGCCCCAGGCUCAACCUGGGAAGUGCAUUCGAUACUGCGCGACUCGAGUCCCGGAGAGGAUGGUAGAAUUCUCGGUGUAGAGGUGAAAUUCGUAGAUAUCGGGAAGAAUACCGGUGGCGAAGGCGGCCAUCUGGACGGUGACUGACGCUGAGACGCGAAAGCGUGGGGAGCAAACAGG
Molecule: ribosomal RNA, 253 nt
Filed under: uncultured bacterium
Lineage: Bacteria
Description: partial 16S ribosomal RNA
Rfam family: Bacterial small subunit ribosomal RNA
Source: RNAcentral